RNAcentral lists this ribosomal RNA (504 nucleotides) under uncultured bacterium. Its description in RNAcentral is "bacterial SSU rRNA". It matches the Rfam family "Bacterial small subunit ribosomal RNA", at positions 36 to 518 of the family's 1533-position model. The record is from RNAcentral.
CUGGCGGCGUGCUUAACACAUGCAAGUCGAACGCGAAAGGGACUUCGGUCCUGAGUAAAGUGGCGCACGGGUGAGUAACGCGUAGAUAACCUGUCUUCAUGUCUGGAAUAAUACGCCGAAAGGGGUACUAAUACCGGAUAUUCCUGCUUUUCAUAAGUUAUGCAAGCAAAGGUGGCCUCUGCAUAUGCUACUGCAUGAAGAGGGGUCUGCGUACCAUUAGCUAGUAGGUGGGGUAAUGGCCUACCUAGGCGACGAUGGUUAGCGGGUCUGAGAGGAUGAUCCGCCACACUGGCACUGGAACACGGGCCAGACUCCUACGGGAGGCAGCAGUGAGGAAUAUUGCGCAAUGGGGGAAACCCUGACGCAGCGACGCCGCGUGAGUGAGGGAAAGGCCUUCGGGUCGUAAAGCUCUGUCAAGAGGAAAGAAGUGUACAAUGGCUAAUACCUGUUGUAUUUGACGGUACCUCUAAAGGAAGCACCGGCUAACUCCGUGCCAGCAGCAGC